Molecule: ribosomal RNA, 253 nt
Filed under: uncultured prokaryote
Description: partial 16S ribosomal RNA
Rfam family: Bacterial small subunit ribosomal RNA
Source: RNAcentral
ACAGAGGUCCCGAGCGUUGUUCGGAUUCACUGGGCGUAAAGGGUGCGUAGGCGGCUGGGUAAGUCUGAUGUGAAAUCUCCGGGCCCAACCCGGAAAUGGCAUUAGAAACUACCUGGCUGGAGGCUUGGAGGGGGAACUGGAAUUCUCGGUGUAGCAGUGAAAUGCGUAGAGAUCGAGAGGAACACCAGUGGCGAAGGCGAGUUCCUGGACAAGUCCUGACGCUGAGGCACGAAAGCCAGGGGAGCAAACAGGA